UGCUCGGUAGUAUAGUGGUUAGUAUUCCCGCCUGUCACGCGGGCGGCCGGGGUUCGAUUCCCCGCCGAGGAG
This 72-nucleotide transfer RNA is filed under the name Cordylochernes scorpioides. Its description in RNAcentral is "tRNA-Asp". It matches the Rfam family "tRNA". From Rfam's summary of the family: Transfer RNA (tRNA) molecules are approximately 80 nucleotides in length. The record is from RNAcentral. Lineage: Eukaryota; Metazoa; Arthropoda; Arachnida; Pseudoscorpiones; Chernetidae.